UAAGAACUGCCAAAAUAUUUGCUGAUAUUUUUAUAGAAAUGUGAACAUUUCUGUGCUUUUUAAAAGCAGUCUUUUUUUGUCAGGAGGACCUGAUUCCCUCCUUCCUCUCACUUUCCUUCUCUGCUCACAUCAGUGCCACUGUCCUCAAGCCCGUUCAUACCCCAGAUUACCCGUGCUUCAAUGUUCACAGCUAAUAAUAGUUUAUAUUUUUCUCUGUAGUCAUAUAAUUCAAUAAAAACUAUCUAUCUACAUGCAUCUAUAUCUAUAUUGGGAAGAGCUGGUAAUUAUUUCAUUUUAUAGAAGUGAUAACAUCUUAUGUAAGCUUUUCUACAGCUUGCUUCUCUCAUUCAGCAAUCCCUUCAAGUCAUCUGCUAUGGUAUGUAUUCAAGGUCAUACCAUGAUAUGGACUUAUGAUCACAUAUUAAAUCAUUUGUCCUAUGAUGGGCAUUUAUUUCCAGCUUUCUGAACCAUUAUAAGCAGUGCUCCAAUAAAUACCCUUUUAUAUAGAUAUCUUAGGUAUUACCACUUUUAUUAUUAUGGCAGAGAUUCCCACAUUGCAACCACUGGUUUGAGAGUGUGUUUUCCAAUUUUAAUUGAUGCCAUCUGAUUGUUUUCCAUAGCAGUAACACUACACAUUUCCACCAAUAAUGCAAGAAGCCAUCCUUUUUUUGACAUCCUUAGUAAUAAUAGGUGUCACUUUUUCUAUUUCCAGACUCAUUGACAGAGAAACAGCAUUGAUGGGGAAUUAGAGGACCUCACAGGAUGAAGCUGUCUAUGCUGAAUAUGGGGAAUAAAAGUAGAAAUGAAUCAAGGGAAGGAAAAUAAGCCACAUGCGAGCAGAAGCUUAGCGAAGCUGAGCAUGCGGUGCUGCUUUCUAGGAGUAAGCAGAAAAACAGAAACACAUUUCAAACAGAAAAAUGGCAGAUUCACUUUAGUGCAUUCACUUCUUUAUUUACUUAUUUAGAACCCUCUAUUUAGCAUCUACCAAAGGCCAGAUAGCAGUCAUACAAAGGGUAUACAGCCACGAAUAAGACAGUCAGAUUCCAUGCACUCAAAAAAACAUUAGUUGGAGAUUCAGAUGUGUACAGGCAUCUAGGAUUGAAGAGAUGAAAUCUAGGGAAACACUUGGUGGACACAGAUUCAGGAUUAGUGUAAUAAUCAGUUGCAUACUGUGUGUAACAGUGGAAUCUACUUAAAAUGAAAAAGCCAGAAGGGGAAACUGGGGCCACAGCAAACAGGGGCCAAUAGAAACAAAACAGGAAGCAGAGUCCAAGUAGCUAGGAUACAAGUUAGGUCUUACUACUGGACAGUGUUUAUGGGAUGGGGACAGAUAAACUACAAAACCUUUGAAGACUUGAACUAGAAGGUUCAAUAGAAUCAGUCUUUACCACAAGAAAUGGAAAGUUGCUGCUCAUAUAGUUUUGUUCAAGUGCCUGAUACUUGUCCUUUUUGGCAGAAUUGUUUCCAAAUUCUAGGGAAUUGUGAAUAAGAUGGUUUUGAUUGUGACUAGCUAGAUUUUACUACUUUUCCAAGAAAGAGUGAACCAACCUGGAAGCAACUGAUUACUCAUUUCACAGAGGUGAGGUGUGGUGAAGCUCAUUCAAUGGUGGCCAUCCUACAGUACAAUGUCUACCAUGAGGCCAGAAAAGAAUCGUCAUCAUAGUGAUUAUUUUAGGUGCUCAUCAGAAAUCUAGGAAAUUAAACUGGGAAAAGCUAUUGGGUUUAGCAAUUAGAAAGUAAUUGGUGAGCUUAGAAAACAGUUUUAUUCGAAUCCUAUGGGGAAAAGGCAGAGUUUAAGGGAGACUUAUGGAAUAGUUGAACUGUGGGAAAGAGGAGACCAAAACUGUAGGAUACUGUCUCCAGGUCUUAUAGUUACGAGAAGAAAGGUGAUAAAAUAGCAGAGGGGAGAAGGAAUUUGAGCACAGAUGUGUGUUUUUUUUUUUUUCUUAACACUAAGAUCUAAGCAUAUCAACAGGAAAUAGAAAAGAGACAGAAAAUAUUGAUGAAGCUGACCAUCAAAAGGAAACGGAGCAGGUCCAAAGGAAGAUGGUAGGUAAAAGUCUGAAUCAUGGACAGAGAUAGAAGACUUAGUCUGAAAUGGCUAGAGUGAGACUUGGGCAUUUCUGCUCCAGGAAAUCUAGGUGAAGAGUAUUUGAAAAUACAUAUGUCAUAUACUUAGAAAUUCUGAAAGUAACGUCAUGGAAAACAUUUAUUUCUGAAAAAUAGUUUGUGUAUAUGUAGAAAAUACCUAGAAGGGUCUAUAUUGAAGUGUUAAUGGUAGUUACUUUUCUGGGGUGAGUUUCAUUCAGUCAAUGUUUAAUGCUUCCUCUUACAAGGUACUGGGUGGCCCAGUGUUGGGAAUAUAAUUAUAAACAAGUCCUGGCCCUCAUGGAAUUCAUAUUCUAGGAGGGAAGCAAAUAACAAACAAAUAAGAAAUACAGUCUCCAUAAUGAAUGCUAUUAAGAAAAAGUUAAGCAAGAUAAGAGAUGAACCAGUGAUAGGGGUGCUGUUUUGACAAGCAGGCCUCUUUCAACAGGGACUUGAAUAGGAAAAUAUUCCAAACUAUAGGUUAGUGAGGGCAAGUGACCCUGGGUCAGGAAAGUGUGGGUGAGCUCAAGGAAAUGCAAGAAGGUGAGUGUGACGAGGGUAUAGUGAGGAGAGAGAGUAGGAGGGGACUGUUCAUCUCAAGAUUGUUUAGGUUCCAUCUCAGUGCAGUGGGAAGCUCUGGGAGUGUUUGAGCGCAAAAGCAGCAUGAUCUGAUUAGAUUUGAACAGAUCACUCUGGCUGCUGUGUGGAAAAUCAAAAGCCCGUGUCUGAGAGGCCCCAGGGAGAAUGGUAGGCAGCUGUCCCCAGCAGUCCAAGGGAGAGAUGGUGGCACUAUUGGAAGAAGGGAUAAAAUGAGAUUGAAUGCAACAUGCCUAAGAUGUGCUGUUUGACUUUACUGGAUGGUUAGAUUCUUUUCUUUGCAAUGGGAAUGUAUUUUUUAUAACUUCAGUCAAAAAACCUGAGCAAUACUGUAACAUUGCUAAAUAAAGAUGCUGACCAGCAAAAUCAGGGUGGUAGUGUAUGAAAUAGCAGCAAAAACAAAGGAAACAUGUAGGCCCAAACCAGAAUUCUAAUAAUACGCUGAUAGCCAAAGGUGCUCUUCAGCGGGGUUAAAGUUGAAACUUAAAUCAAGUCAAAUGCUAGGAACCAGGGGUGGGUCUCAGAGUAUUAAACUAUUUUCCUUCUAAUUCUCCCAAAAUGCUACAUCGAAAUUAUUACCGUGUUUUUCAAAGAACCUGCAUCAAGUCCCAUGAUUCUUAAUCAAAUCAAGCAGUUUCCUUCAUGUAAGCAACACUGAGCUUUGUUCUUGUAUGCAGAUCAUUUGGGUUGUUUCUGAACUGUGGAGCCAUUAAGAUCAAUAUCUGGGUAGUCAUUGCUAGUGAGUAGUGAGUUUCCUGGAGUCUAAGAAUAUAUCAGUUUCCCAUGUUUCCAUAUAUAUGAGAUUAGAGAGAGCAAAAAGGACCUUAAAAAAAUGAAAUGUCUAAUGUUGC
This 3536-nucleotide long non-coding RNA is filed under the name Sus scrofa (pig). Its description in RNAcentral is "lncRNA (ENSSSCG00000053876.1)". The record is from RNAcentral. Lineage: Eukaryota; Metazoa; Chordata; Mammalia; Artiodactyla; Suidae.